RNAcentral lists this unclassified non-coding RNA (1330 nucleotides) under Cimex lectularius (bed bug). RNAcentral's name for it is "uncharacterized LOC106673852, transcript variant X2". Lineage: Eukaryota; Metazoa; Arthropoda; Insecta; Hemiptera; Cimicidae. The record is from RNAcentral.
UUAUAUUUUUUUAAUUCUUGCCAUACAAGAGUACCUAAUGUCAAACUAAUAUUUUUCUUCCCAUUUUUCAAGUUCAAUAAAGGACUUCAAAGAUGAAAGUAAUGCAGGGUGAAUAGAUGAAGUGCUGUCAUGUGUUUAAUAAAUUAUUAAAUAUUUAAGUAAUUCUUAAUAUUUGUUUCUAUGGUGACAAUUGAGAAUCAUUUCUAAUUUUUGCUACCAGCAAAAAACUCUAAUACGUAAAAAUAUAAUAUAAACACUGUGUGAUUGGCAAUUAAUAAAAACCGAUAACAAAUUAUGUGGAGAACCAUUCUUAAGGCAGCGGCAGUGACCAUCUGUGCCGCAGGAGCUUACCAAGUUUACCGGCAUUUUAAACGUGAAAUAAUUGAAAUACCUGAAUAUUACGAACGGCAGGAACUGGAGAAAAAGCGAGACAUUGCAAGCCACCGAAAGGUAAGAGGCAAGGCUGAUCAGUAUAUCUUUACUAAUAUCUCUGAUGAAGAAAGUGAUGAAGAAGAAAGCAACCCGAUUAUGACAAACAACAGCCAAAACGAAAACAACGCCCCAUCGACAAGCCAAGAAAAUCAAGGAACAGAACCAGCCACCGAGGAAGAACUUCUGACUAUGAAAAUAAUUAAUGAUAUAAUAAGAACUAAACCAUGGCUUUUGGAAGAAGAAAAUUCGUUUUCAGCUGGGGACUCUAGCAAUGAAAAUUCUGACGAUCCUCCCAGAUCGUCGGGAACCUAGUUCGACAAACACAUGGGCAGCAUGAGCUGUCCACCUUCACCCCAUCAAAUAUAGAAUAUGAUGAAACACCAUGAACAAAUAAUGAUAUAUAGAUGGGGAAAAUUAACACAAUGCAACAAAGAGCUAUACCAAUAGCAAACCUAUCAAUUCAGUACCUAAUUCAGCACCUUCGUUGUUAAUAUAAAUAAUAGACGAAUACGAAGUGGCUCCAGACACUAGUCACUUGGCACAUGACAUUUGAUGACAAUAUGUUGAACUGGUGUCAAAGUUGAACCUCAGACUAAACAACCAUAAUUUUUCAUACUUGAAAAUUUGUGUUAUAAAAUGAACAACCAUGUUAAAAACUGAAAUGGUUAUGUCGGUGCAAGUAAAAUCCACUGAAAUUAUAUAUUUUUGUGACUUGGAAACUGGCCAAGUAUAAGCCUGGGAACUAUUUGCAAUCAAUUUAUAAAGCACAUGAACCUGUGCUCGCUCUUCGUACGUGGGACUAUUUGUUUUAUUAAUGUGUGAACAACUUUGAAGAAAAGGAUUUUUCAUUUCAAAUAAUUAAACAUGUUAAAUUUUCUAAAUCUAAAAGGAGUUUAGA